This 515-nucleotide ribosomal RNA is filed under the name uncultured bacterium. RNAcentral's name for it is "partial 16S ribosomal RNA". It matches the Rfam family "Bacterial small subunit ribosomal RNA", at positions 28 to 523 of the family's 1533-position model. The record is from RNAcentral.
GAUGAACGCUGGCGGCGUGCCUAAUACAUGCAAGUCGAGCGAAUGGAUUAAGAGCUUGCUCUUAUGAAGUUAGCGGCGGACGGGUGAGUAACACGUGGGUAACCUGCCCAUAAGACUGGGAUAACUCCGGGAAACCGGGGCUAAUACCGGAUAACAUUUUGAACCGCAUGGUUCGAAAUUGAAAGGCGGCUUCGGCUGUCACUUAUGGAUGGACCCGCGUCGCAUUAGCUAGUUGGUGAGGUAACGGCUCACCAAGGCAACGAUGCUUAGCCGACCUGAGAGGGUGAUCGGCCACACUGGGACUGAAACACGGCCCAGACUCCUACGAGAGGCAGCAGUAGGGAAUCUUCCGCAAUGGACGAAAGUCUGACGGAGCAACGCGGCGUGAGUGAUGAAGGCUUUCGGGUCGUAAAACUCUGUUGUUAGGGAAGAACAAGUGCUAGUUGAAUAAGCUGGCACCUUGACGGUACCUAACCAGAAAGCCACGGCUAACUACGUGCCAGCAGCCGCGGUAA